This 253-nucleotide ribosomal RNA is filed under the name uncultured bacterium. RNAcentral's name for it is "partial 16S ribosomal RNA". It matches the Rfam family "Bacterial small subunit ribosomal RNA", at positions 524 to 776 of the family's 1533-position model. The record is from RNAcentral.
UACGGAGGGUGCAAGCGUUAUCCGGAUUCACUGGGUUUAAAGGGUGCGUAGGCGGGUAAGUAAGUCCGUGGUGAAAUCUCCGGGCUUAACCCGGAAACUGCCAUUGAUACUAUUUGUCUUGAAUACUGUGGAGGUCAGCGGAAUAUGUCAUGUAGCGGUGAAAUGCUUAGAUAUGACAUAGAACACCAAUUGCGAAGGCAGCUGGCUACACAAAUAUUGACACUGAGGCACGAAAGCGUGGGGAUCAAACAGG